This 212-nucleotide long non-coding RNA is filed under the name Hordeum vulgare. RNAcentral's name for it is "long non-coding RNA (HVUL_LNC006997)". The record is from RNAcentral. Lineage: Eukaryota; Viridiplantae; Streptophyta; Magnoliopsida; Poales; Poaceae.
AGCCAAGUCAACCCACUCAGCCGACGGAAGAAACACGUCGAGCUAGCUCAAGGAACAUCAGACGUCCUGGCUGGCAGAACACUCCAGAGGGCUACGUUACUAAGGGCAAGAUGGCUGCGAAGAGAGGGUGGAAGUGAAGUGUUAUGACCUAUGUUAUGAUGUUGUCCUAUGAAAUAUGUUGUCUGCUGAACUAUGUUUUCUGUUGAACUAUG